RNAcentral lists this ribosomal RNA (253 nucleotides) under uncultured bacterium. RNAcentral's name for it is "partial 16S ribosomal RNA". It matches the Rfam family "Bacterial small subunit ribosomal RNA", at positions 524 to 776 of the family's 1533-position model. The record is from RNAcentral.
UACGUAGGGUGCGAGCGUUAAUCGGAAUUACUGGGCGUAAAGCGUGCGCAGGCGGUUUUGUAAGCCAGAUGUGAAAUCCCCGGGCUUAACCUGGGAAUGGCAUUUGGGACUGCAAGGCUGGAGUUUGGCAGAGGAGACUGGAAUUCCCGGUGUAGCAGUGAAAUGCGUAGAUAUCGAGAGGAACACCAGUGGCGAAGGCGAGUCCCUGGACAGAUCCUGACGCUGAGGCACGAAAGCUAGGGGAGCAAACAGG